Long non-coding RNA from Gossypium raimondii (Peruvian cotton), 530 nucleotides. RefSeq lists it as uncharacterized. The transcript is spliced from 2 exons. The record is from RefSeq and is a predicted model, not a curated record. Lineage: Eukaryota; Viridiplantae; Streptophyta; Magnoliopsida; Malvales; Malvaceae.
UGUUUUGCCUUCCUUUCUAAUGUUUCUUUCCCCUUUAUUCUCUUCAUUCCAUAGCUCCCCCAGCUAAUUCUCCCACUAUCUCUCUCGGCCUCCUUUCUAUUUUUUCCUAUCAUUCUUUUUUAGAUUUGGGUAAUCACAGGCCAAAAAAACACCCACGCAAGUGACAGUAGGAAGAAAGUUUUUGUGAGAGGGAAAGACCCAAAGUUUUUCUCUGUCGUUUCUAUUUUUAUUGAUAUUAAAAUCCCCUGCUUCAUUGUAGACUGAUAUCCAGGAAAAUCUUCUAAAUGGUUGUCCGCCAUGUGAUUAGCCGGUUCAAGAAAUUCCUAUUCUUCAAUGGCCUGUUCGGAGAUAGGCCGCAUUGGAAUAGAUCGGAAUACCAUAUAUUUUAAGCAUCCUUUUCGUCUCUUUCUUUGUCAUAUUCCGGUUUUGAGAUAUUCCAGUUCGAGAAUAACCCGCAAUCUUCAAUAAAAUUAUAAUUUUAUUUAAUAAAAUAAUAUGUAUCACAAUAUUUUUAUAAAAAUUUUAAUUAA